AGACCUUUUCCGGCGAUCCUCUUCACACUUCCAAUAUCCAGACCUUUUCCGGCGAUCCUCUUCACACUUCCAAUAUCCAGGUAUGCUUCCGCAGUGUCAAGCGAGGGGACCAUAGCAGAGAUAGAGGUGGAUUGAACAUGUGAAGCUAUUGAAGCGCUG
Molecule: long non-coding RNA, 159 nt
Organism: Pseudophryne corroboree (corroboree frog)
Lineage: Eukaryota; Metazoa; Chordata; Amphibia; Anura; Myobatrachidae
Exons: 3
Source: RefSeq, a predicted model, not a curated record